This 389-nucleotide ribosomal RNA is filed under the name uncultured bacterium. RNAcentral describes it as "bacterial SSU rRNA". It matches the Rfam family "Bacterial small subunit ribosomal RNA", at positions 28 to 419 of the family's 1533-position model. The record is from RNAcentral.
GACGAACGCUGGCGGCGUGCUUAACACAUGCAAGUCGAGCGGUAAGGCCCUUUCGGGGUACACGAGCGGCGAACGGGUGAGUAACACGUGGGUGACCUGCCCUCAGCUCUGGGAUAAGCCUGGGAAACCGGGUCUAAUACCGGAUAUGACUCCAUGACGCAUGUUGUGGGGUGGAAAGCCUUGUGCGGCUGAGGAUGGGCCCGCGGCCUAUCAGCUUGUUGGUGGGGUGANGGCCUACCAAGGCGACGACGGGUAGCCGGCCUGAGAGGGCGACCGGCCACACUGGGACUGAGACACGGCCCAGACUCCUACGGGAGGCAGCAGUGGGGAAUCUUGCGCAAUGGGCGAAAGCCUGACGCAGCGACGCCGCGUGAGGGAUGACGGCCUGG